Molecule: long non-coding RNA, 3554 nt
Filed under: Cricetulus griseus (Chinese hamster)
Lineage: Eukaryota; Metazoa; Chordata; Mammalia; Rodentia; Cricetidae
Description: lncRNA (ENSCGRG00015040949.1)
Source: RNAcentral
CUCACUGGUGAGGUUCCCGAAAACUGUGCAACACCAGCAGAGCCAAUGAGUGAUGGCCAGGGCCAUGGGGAUAUAGGUGCACCACCCACUGCUCUGUUUGCAGAAAUAAUUGUUGUGACCCAGCUAAGGCUGGGAAAGGGGGAAUGCAUGAGCAUGUUGGGACCAAGGCAUCAGAGCUGGGAGGACAGUUGUACAUUGUGUGGGAGCUUGGCAAGCCCCUCCAAAUGUCUGUCUUGACUCCUGCUGAAUGGACUUGCACACAGAAACUGGGUCCUGAGCUACGCUCUGCCUUGUGAUGGAAGGGACAGGCAUAUGCCAGCCUAGACCUCGGCCCUUGCCGGAUUGGAGUCCAAGGUGUGCAUAUCCAUCCAGAUGUGGUGCGUGACCUCAGGGUCUGUGACAGAAGCUCUGGCAUCCUCACUUUGCUGGAAUGGGUCACAGGCUAUGGGAGAGCCUGUCAGGUGGUAUCUGUGGAUUUGUAUGAGGUGCUGAGGGACUCAAGGCUGUCGUCUCUAAUACCUUGAUGUAAUACCAGGUAUCCCCAAGAGCUUCUUUGGGAAGGGAAAGGUCUAGAAACCACCUCAGCUGAGCUGGUGUGCAGUCUGCAUGUCCACUGCCCUUUCUGCUCAUCCCAGUAGGAAAUGGUGACUGUGGCAUGUUAGCCAGUCACCGGGACAGGACUGUCCCCAGGCGCUCUGAUGCCAAAACAUGUCAAGUAUUGGCACGCUGUCAGCAGCCAUGGCUCUGGACAGGAAUCCAUGAAAUGCUGGCAUGCAGACUACAAGAUUCCAGCAAGGCGUGGGAAUGUAGGUGUCAUUCCCCAAUUCUUCCUGGUAGGCCACAUUUGGAGUGGGAACUCCAUCAACUUGGCCUGUAGUUCAAAUAUGGUGAGAAAUCUCGGGAUCUGGGGCACCAACUUUGCCCGCUUGUGUAAAUUCACCAGAGACCUUGUCCUGUGGCAAGGGGGAAUAAUGACCGUCCCCAAAACUGUCUGGGACAAAGACAUUCAUGUGAGGAUAAAUAACAGUAGAAAAAUUGCAGAUAGGAGGCCACACCUAACAUCAUUUAAUCGUUGGUGGACAACAGAACAUGAGGAACUCCAGUAGACAUUGGAGUUGUUGAAACCCACUGACUGCCGAUUGGCUCUCAACAGGGUGGGGAGAGUCUGGCCACUCUUCCGAAUUGGAAGGGGAGGCAAUUUGCCCACAGGAAUGUCUCUGUCCCGGCAGAGUGGGACCAUGGAGGUGGAUGGUUAUCUGGGUCACUCCUUGGGCUUCAGUGUUGCAUAGGUUACUGGACCCUAGCAGAAGCUUCCCCACAUGAUGUAGGUGACAAGGGAGAAUGGACAGCUACAGACCAUCGAUGAUGAUGGUCUGACUGUGCGCACUACGAUCCCAGAUGAUUCACAAUGAUCCAAUUUCCAGAUAUAGUGGCCAUAGUGCUGUACCUCACUGGUGAGGUUCCCGAAAACUGUGCAACACCAGCAGAGCCAAUGAGUGAUGGCCAGGGCCAUGGGGAUAUAGGUGCGCCACCCUCUGCUCUGUUUGCAGAAAUAAUUGGUGUGACCCAGCUAAGGCUGGGAAAGGGGGAAUGCAUGAGCAUGUUGGGACCAAGGCAUCAUAGCUGGGAGGACAGUUGUACAUUGUGUGGGAGAUUGGCAAGCCCCUCCAAAUGUCUGUCUUGACUCCUGCUGAAUGGUCUUGCACACAGAAACUGGGUCCUGAGCUACGCUCUGCCUUGUGAUGGAAGGGACAGGCAUAUGCCAGCCUAGACCUCGGCCCUUGCCGGAUUGGAGUCCAAGGUGUGCAUAUCCAUCCAGAUGUGGUGCGUGACCUCAGGGCCUGUGACAGAAGCUCUGGCAUCCUCACUUUGCUGGAAUGGGUCACAGGCUAUGGGAGAGCCUGUCAGGCGGUGUCUAUGGAUUUGUAUGAGGCGCUGAGGGAUUCAAGGCUGUCGUCUCUAAUACCUUGAUGUAAUACCAGGUAUCCCCAAGAGUGUCUUUGGGAAGGGAAAGGUCUAGAACCCACCUCAGCUGAGCUGGUGUGCAGUCUGCAUGUCCACUGCCCUUUUUGCUCAUCCCAGUAGGAAAUGGUGACUGUGGCAUGUUAGCCAGUCACCGGGACAGGACUGUCCCCAGGCGCUCUGAUGCCAAUACAUGGCAAGUAUUGGCACGCUGUCAGCAGCCAUGGCUCUGGACAGGAAUCCAUGAAAUGCUGGCAUGCAGACUACAAGAUUCCAGCAAGGCGUGGGAAUGUAGGUGUCAUUCCCCAAUUCUUCCUGGUAGGCCACAUUUGGAGUGGGAACUCCAUCAACUUGGCCUGUAGUUCAAAUAUGGUGAGAAAUCUUGGGAUCUGGGGCACCAACUUUGCCCACUUGUGUAAAUUCCACAGAGACCUUGUCCUGGGGCAAUGGUUCUGAUCCCGGGGGAAUAAUGACCGUCCCCAAAACUGUCUGGGACAAAGACAUUCAUGUGAGGAUAAAUAACAGUAGAAAAAUUGCAGAUAGGAGGCCACACCUAACAUCAUUUAAUCGUUGGUGGACAACAGAACAUGAGGAACUCCAGUAGACAUUGGAGUUGUUGAAACCCACUGACUGCCGUUUGGCUCUCAACGUGGUGGGGAGAGUCUGGCCACUCUUCCGAAUUGGAAGGGGAGGCAAUUUGCCCACAGGAAUGUCUCUGUCCCGGCUGAGUGGGACCAUGGAGGUGGAUGGUUAUCUGGGUCACUCCUUGGGCUUGGGUGUUGCAUAGGUUACUGGACCCUAGCAUAAGCUUCCCCACAUGAUGUGGGUGACAAGGGAGAAUGGACAGCUACAGACCAUCGAUGAUGAUGGUCUGACUGUGCGCACUACGAUCCCAGAUGAUUCACAAUGAUCCAAUUUCCAGAUAUUGUGGCCAUGGUGCUGGACCUCACUGGUGAGGUUCCCGAUAAAUGUGCAACACCAGCAGAGCCAAUGAGUGAUGGCCAGGGCCAUGGGGAUAUAGGUACGCCACCCUCUGCUCUGUUUGCAGAAAUAAUUGCAGUGACCCAGCUAAGGCUGGGAAAGGGGGAAUGCAUGAGCAUGUGGGGACCAAGGCAUCAGAGCUGGGAGGACAGUUGUACAUUGUGUGGGAGCUUGGCAAGCCCCUCCAAAUGUCUGUCUUGACUCCUGCUGAAUGGACUUGCACACAGAAACUGGGUCCUGAGCUACGCUCUGCCUUGUGAUGAAAGGGACAGGCAUAUGCCAGCCUAGACCUCGGCCCUUGCCGGAUUGGAGUCCAAGGUGUGCAUAUCCAUCCAGAUGUGGUGCAUGACCUCAGGGCCUGUGACAGAAGCUCUGGCAUCCUCAAUUUUCUGGAAUGGGUCACAGGCUAUGGGAGAUCCUGUCAGGCGGUGUCUAUGGAUUUGUAUGAGGCGCUGAGGGACUCAAGGCUGUCGUCUCUAAUACCUUGAUGUAAUACCAGGUAUCCCCAGGAGCUUCUUUGGGAAGGGAAAGAUCUAGAACCCACCUCAGCUGAGCUGGUGUGCAGUCUGCAUGACCACUGCCCUUUCUGCUCAUCCCAGUAGGAAAUGGUG